Molecule: small nucleolar RNA, 224 nt
Organism: Octodon degus (degu)
Lineage: Eukaryota; Metazoa; Chordata; Mammalia; Rodentia; Octodontidae
Gene: U3
Rfam family: Small nucleolar RNA U3
About the family: Small nucleolar RNAs (snoRNAs) are involved in the processing and modification of rRNA in the nucleolus. There are two main classes of snoRNAs: the box C/D class, and the box H/ACA class. U3 snoRNA is a member of the box C/D class.
Source: Ensembl
AAGGCCCUACUUUCAGGGAUCAGUUCUAUAGUAUGUUACUAGAGAAGUUUCUGUGAUCGUGUAUGGUACCAGAAAACAAGGGGAGGAGGCGGCGUAGCGUUCUUUCCUGAGCUCUCGGUGUUUCCUUGCUGUAACUGCCUCUUACCAGCUUACCAUUGGUGAUCAUUCUUGCUCCUUUCCUAGAGGGAGUAAGAGGGAAGGGGAAGGAACGCAGCUUGAGUGGU